Molecule: ribosomal RNA, 253 nt
Filed under: uncultured bacterium
Lineage: Bacteria
Description: partial 16S ribosomal RNA
Rfam family: Bacterial small subunit ribosomal RNA
Source: RNAcentral
UACAGAGGUGGCAAGCGUUGUUCGGAAUUACUGGGCGUAAAGGGCGCGUAGGCGGUCUUUUAAGUUCCGUGUGAAAUCCCUCGGCUCAACUGGGGAACUGCACGGGAAACUGGAGGGCUUGAGUUCGGGAGAGGGAAGCGGAAUUCCGGGUGUAGCGGUGAAAUGCGUAGAUAUCCGGAGGAACACCGGUGGCGAAGGCGGCUUCCUGGACCGACACUGACGCUGAGGCGCGAAAGCUAGGGGAGCAAACGGG